GACGAACGCUGGCGGCAUGCUUAACACAUGCAAGUCGAACGGACGACCCAUGACGGAUUCUUCGGAUGACGGAUUGGGAAGUUAGUGGCGGACGGGUGAGUAACGCGUGGGUAACCUGCCCUUUAAAUUGGGACAACAGUUGGAAACGACUGCUAAUACCGAAUGUGACGAUUGAGAGGCAUCUCUUGAUCGGGAAAGAUGGCUGAGCUUGAUGCUAUCGUUAAAGGAUGGACCCGCGUCUGAUUAGCUAGUUGGUAGGGUAGUGGCCUACCAAGGCGACGAUCAGUAGCCGGCCUGAGAGGGUGAACGGCCACAUUGGGACUGAGACACGGCCCAAACUCCUACGGGAGGCAGCAGCGGGGAAUAUUGCACAAUGGGGGAAACCCUGAUGCAGCGACGCCGCGUGAGUGAAGAAGUAUUUCGGUAUGUAAAGCUCUAUCAGCAAGGAAGAAAAUGACGGUACUUGACUAAGAAGCCCCGGCUAACUACGUGCCAG
RNAcentral lists this ribosomal RNA (496 nucleotides) under uncultured bacterium. RNAcentral describes it as "bacterial SSU rRNA". It matches the Rfam family "Bacterial small subunit ribosomal RNA", at positions 28 to 511 of the family's 1533-position model. The record is from RNAcentral.